GACGUAGGGCGCGAGCGUUGUCCGGAUUUAUUGGGCGUAAAGAGCUCGUAGGCGGCUUGUCGCGUCGAAUGUGAAAUCCUGCGGCUCAACUGCAGGCUUGCAUUCGAUACGGGCAGGCUCGAGUUCGGUAGGGGAGACUGGAAUUCCUGGUGUAGCGGUGAAAUGCGCAGAUAUCAGGAGGAACACCGGUGGCGAAGGCGGGUCUCUGGGCCGAUACUGACGCUGAGGCGCGAAAGCGUGGGGAGCAAACAGG
This 253-nucleotide ribosomal RNA is filed under the name uncultured bacterium. RNAcentral describes it as "partial 16S ribosomal RNA". It matches the Rfam family "Bacterial small subunit ribosomal RNA", at positions 524 to 776 of the family's 1533-position model. The record is from RNAcentral.